GCAUAUUGGGGAUGGUAUUUUCCAGGCAAUUCAUUUCGCUUAAAUCAAUUGAAAUGGUUUACUUGAUUAGGAGACCAAAAGCCGGUUUUCUCCCACCAAACCAGUCCAUGGAAUGGAUCUACUCGUACUACUGAGAGCCCCCUCCACACAGAGGUUUGCCCAAAUUGAUCAUGCGAAAGAAUGUUUUCGAGCUGUGUUUCUGUUCUCUACUCACAAAAUGCUCGGACUCUUGGAAGUUAGCACAUGGCUGCUAAUUAAGUAUUCGUUGCCUGAAAAAUUAACUUUCCAGCUACGAGUUUGUGAGCCUGUUGGCACUUUUGUUGUGGCAGCAGUAUCUGGC
This 340-nucleotide long non-coding RNA is filed under the name Drosophila guanche. The record is from RNAcentral. Lineage: Eukaryota; Metazoa; Arthropoda; Insecta; Diptera; Drosophilidae.